Non-coding RNA from Pelobates cultripes (western spadefoot toad), 233 nucleotides. The record is from the annotation of a GenBank genome assembly. NCBI's taxonomy places the organism in Eukaryota, Metazoa, Chordata, Amphibia, Anura, Pelobatidae.
CAGGCUCCGACUAUCCAAGAGUCCUGAUGCAGCAGGUAGGAGUAGCCGCCCCAUCAGGUAUUUACUGUAGGCAGAUGCCUACUCUGCCUAAUGGGAAAUUAAGGAUGCAGAUUGUUUUUAAAAUAUGUACUUAUCCAUCAUGACGAUCUAUUUGCCCUGACACAAAAAAAAUAAUAAUUUAAUUCAAACAUUGAGGCCCCUAUCAAGAGCCUUGGACUUUGACAAGACUAUUU